Molecule: long non-coding RNA, 865 nt
Organism: Oryzias melastigma (Indian medaka)
Lineage: Eukaryota; Metazoa; Chordata; Actinopteri; Beloniformes; Adrianichthyidae
Exons: 2
Source: RefSeq, a predicted model, not a curated record
GCGUACUCCCUAGGCUGAGUUUGUCGGCCGGUGACGUCACAGCGCAGCGACAAGUGCUGUCCAAAUCCAGCGGCUGCUUCAAACGCGCCCAGCGAACUCUGCCUUCUUUUUCCCAAAUUGAAGGAUCGUUCUGAUGUAUCCUGCUAUGCUGACCGUAUCCCAAGAUGCAUUGCGGUCGGUCCCGAAGAAUUUUUCUGGCAACAAUGGCGGACGUUGAUGCGGGAAGCGGAGUCGGGGAAAAUUUCACUUUUAAAUGACAAUCCUGGAGAAAAUGGAUCUGCUGGAGAAGUACAGCAGUGGGUGAAAGAGAGGAGAGUGAAGAAAGAGAAGGAAAGGAGUGAGCCACCGGCUGGAAGAAGAAAAAUAAUAAGAAACAGUGAUGAACUUCUAGACCUAAGCAGAGGACAUGAGGCAGAAGAGCAGAGCGCACGAGAGAGGAGGGAGACUUUUGACCAACUUUAGUUUGCUGGAAAGAAUUGCUGUUAAAAUCCUGAGAUGUCUGAGAAUAAAUAAAUGAAGUUUAUAUUUGAUAUAUUAAAAAUGUUUGUUUUUGUUUUGUUAAUUUAAAUAAAGAUCUAAAUCAAACACAGUGAUUGUCAUGGAUUAAUUGUAACUUUUAUUUCCAACUAUUUACAAAGAUAGUCGACAUGGAUGGGGGGGGGCUUCGACUGAGACCCGGGCUGAAACUUUCUGGGUGGUGAUUGAACAUCUUGCAAGGUGGUCUGCAGAAAGUUUCAGGAUGCAUCUUCACUGUAGACUGCAUCGUCCAUCUUCAGGGUUUGCAGGGCUGGCUGUCGAUGGAUGCUGCAUGACCAAAAAUUAUCCAUAAAUAUGAGAUAAUGCAUGUACAGGCUUUGGAAAAAAA